UCACCCACACGCUGUUACUGCUGAUUCCGGCCUUAAACCCCCCCCAUUGGUUUCAUGUCCAUCCCGUGUCCAUCCCAUGUCCAUCCCGUGUCCAUGCCAUGUCAGUCACACGCUGUUACUGCUGAUUCCGGCCUUAAACCCCUCCCACUGGUCUCAUGUCCAUUCUGUGUCCAUCCCGUGUCCAUCCCAUGUCAGUCACACGCUGUUACUGCUGAUUCCGGCCUCAAACAUGCCUCGUCAGUCCCGUGUCCAUCCCAUGUUCAUCCUGUGUCCAUCUCAUGUCAGUCACAUGCUGUUACUGCUGAUUCUGGCCUUAAACAUCCCCCAUUGUCCCUUGUCCAUCCCAUGUCCAUCCCAUGUCCAUCCCGUGUCCAUCUUGUGUUGAAUUCCAGCUGAUUCCGGCCUUAAAGCCCCGGUCCCAUAUCUGUCCCGUGUCUGUCCCGUGUCGGGGUCUCGUGUCAUCACGUGUUGGCUCCCUGUUGAUCCUGGUGGUGCCUUAUCUCGUGUCGUUCCCAUGUCAUUCCUGUGUCAUUCCCAUGUCACCCUUCCCUGGAUUCGCUGCUGGUUCUGCCUUAAUCCCUUUUAAAUCCCGUGACAAUCCCGUGUCAGGCCCUUGUUUAUCCCGUGUCAUUCCCGUGUCGUCCCUCUCCCCGUGUUCCCUGCCAAUGGUGCCUUAAUCCCACGGGAAUCCUGUGUCAAUCCCAUGUAAAUCCUGUGUCAAUCCCGUGUCAGUGCCAUGUCAAUCCCACGGGAAUCCUGUGUCAAUCCUACUGGAAUCCUGUGUCAAUCCCAUGUAAAUCCCAUGUCAAACCCAUGUAAAUCCCGUGUCAAUCCCAUGUAAAUCCCGUGUCAAUCCCAUGUAAAUCCCGUGUCAAUCCCAUGUAAAUCCUGUGUCAUUCCCAUGUUGUUCCCGUGUCAGUCCUUUCCCCCAUCCCUCCCCUCCCAAGGGCAUUAAUUACCCCCCGUUAACGAGCCACGAACUCUCAGGACAAGGGGCCAGUGCCCCCCCCCCCCCUCCUGGGCUAAUUAACCCCCAUCUCUUAAUUAUUCCAGGCCAAUUAGCCCCCAUCUCUUAAUUAUUCUGGGCUAAUUAGCCCCACUCGGUUAAUUAUCCUAGGGCUAAUUAACCUCCCUGGGUUAAUUGGGCUCAUGGGUUAAUUAUUCGGGGUUGAUUGCCCCCUGGAUUGAUUAGUCAAGGCUAAUUGGCCCAACCAAUUGAUUAUUUGAGGUUAAUUAGCGUGCCCAAUUAAUUCACUCCAGGUUAAUUGUUAUUGAUGAUUCCAGAUUAAUUAGCCCAGUUAAUGUAUUAUUGAAGGUCAAUUAAUCCUAUUAAUGUAUUAUUUGAGGCUAAUUAGUGCCAUUAAUGUAUUGUUUGAGCUUAAUCGAUUUCUUUGAUUAAUUAUUUGAGGCAAAUCUGCCACAUUAAUUAUUUACGCAAGGCUGAAUGAUCCCUCUUAAUUAUUCUGGGCUAAUUAGCCCCAAUUAUUGAAGAUCCAAGGCUUUAAUGAUUAAUGGUUCUGGGCUGGUUAAUUAUUCAUUAAUUGUUCCAGGUUGAUGAGCUCCUCCAGUUAAUUAUUCGGCUUCAUUACUUGCACUGCUUAAUUUAUUCAGGGCGUUGAUUAAUUAACCGAGGCUAAUUACACCUGCAAAGAUUUAUUAGCAAAGGUUAAGGGACCCCCCUGAUUAAUUACUCAAGGCUGAUCAAUCUCUCUGAUUAUUGAAGCUUAAUUAGCCCCAGGAAUCGAUAAUUAAUUAAUUAAUUAAUUAUUUGAGCCUACUUAACUAUUCAGCGCUGAUUAACGCAGUUAAUUAUUUGAGCCUGAUUAGCUAUUUGAUUCGUUAAUUAAUUAUUUCAGCCCAAUUAGCGCUCCUAAUUAAUCAUUCCAGCUCAUUUACAUUCCGAAUCAGCCCCUCCCCCCCUCCCCUGGCGCUUUAAUUAAUUAUUUAAUUAACGGGGGAGGGGGAGGGGCGGGGCCGCGUCGGGUCGUUCCAGAGCCUUAAUUAAAGUUGAUUAAAGUCAAUUAAAAGUGGAGCGAAGUUAA
Molecule: long non-coding RNA, 2042 nt
Organism: Corapipo altera (White-ruffed manakin)
Lineage: Eukaryota; Metazoa; Chordata; Aves; Passeriformes; Pipridae
Exons: 2
Source: RefSeq, a predicted model, not a curated record